This 22-nucleotide unclassified non-coding RNA is filed under the name Dictyostelium discoideum. The record is from RNAcentral. Lineage: Eukaryota; Evosea; Eumycetozoa; Dictyosteliales; Dictyosteliaceae.
UCGGAACUGGGAAACCAGGGCC